GCACUGGUGGGUUCUUGGUCUCAUUGACUUCAAGAAUGAAGCCGUGGACCCUUGCGCUAUUUUACAUAAGGAAAGUGGGUGGUGAUUAACCUCAGAGUCUCCAGGGACAGACUAUCCAGGACUGUGCCUGAAAUAGAAGAGGAAUUAACAUCAUACAGAACUGAAUACGGUGACUGAGGGGAGUUUGUGUCUCCCCUUUUAGGAAAGAAGAUGAGAAUAAGUAUGAAGGAGAGUCAUGUACUGUACAUUAAGCAAAAGCAUGAUGCUGUUAUUUGAAAUGUUAAUUAGAGGUGCCCACUAAAAACUGCUCAGCAAUUUUCUUGGAGACCUCAGUGCUCAUGUUAUUCUUUCCUCUAUCUUAUGUUUUCCUCUCUCCUGCCCUUUUCAGAAACAGUCUACAGCAG
RNAcentral lists this long non-coding RNA (404 nucleotides) under Homo sapiens (human). RNAcentral's name for it is "PREDICTED lncRNA (TCONS_00108133)". Lineage: Eukaryota; Metazoa; Chordata; Mammalia; Primates; Hominidae. The record is from RNAcentral.